GAUGAACGCUGGCGGCGUGCCUAAUACAUGCAAGUCGAGCGAACAGACGAGGAGCUUGCUCCUCUGACGUUAGCGGCGGACGGGUGAGUAACACGUGGAUAACCUACCUAUAAGACUGGGAUAACUUCGGGAAAUCGGAGCUAAUACCGGAUAAUAUAUCGAACCGCAUGGUUCACUAGUGAAAGACGGUUUUGCUGUCACUUAUAGAUGGAUCCGCGCCGCAUUAGUUAGUUGGUAAGGUAACGGCUUACCAAGGCAACGAGGCGUAGCCGACCUGAGAGGGUGAUCGGCCACACUGGAACUGAGACACGGUCCAGACUCCUACGGGAGGCAGCAGUAGGGAAUCUUCCGCAAUGGGCGAAAGCCUGACGGAGCAACGCCGCGGGAGUGAUGAAGGUCUUCGGAUCGUAAAACUCUGUUAUUAGGGAAGAACAAAUGUGUAAGUAACUAUGCACGUCUUGACGGUACCUAAUCAGAAAGCCACGGCUAACUACGUG
Molecule: ribosomal RNA, 497 nt
Filed under: uncultured bacterium
Lineage: Bacteria
Description: partial 16S ribosomal RNA
Rfam family: Bacterial small subunit ribosomal RNA
Source: RNAcentral